UUUGAUCCUGGCUCAGAACGAACGCUGGCGGCAGGCCUAACACAUGCAAGUCGAGCGAAGGAUUUCGGUCCUUAGCGGCGGACGGGUGAGUAACACGUGGGAACGUGCCCAAAGGUACGGAACAACAGUUGGAAACGACUGCUAAUACCGUAUGUGCCCUACGGGGGAAAGNNUUAUCGCCUUUGGAUCGGCCCGCGUCUGAUUAGGUAGUUGGUGGGGUAAUGGCCUACCAAGCCGACGAUCAGUAGCUGGUUUGAGAGGACGAUCAGCCACACUGGGACUGAGACACGGCCCAGACUCCUACGGGAGGCAGCAGUGGGGAAUCUUAGACAAUGGACGCAAGUCUGAUCUAGCCAUGCCGCGUGAGCGAUGAAGGCCUUAGGGUUGUAAAGCUCUUUCACUGGUGACGAUAAUGACGGUAACCAGAGAAGAAGCCCCGGCUAACUCCGUGCCAGCAGCCGCGGUAAUAAGGG
Molecule: ribosomal RNA, 473 nt
Filed under: uncultured bacterium
Lineage: Bacteria
Description: bacterial SSU rRNA
Rfam family: Bacterial small subunit ribosomal RNA
Source: RNAcentral